UAACAAGGUCUCCGUUGGUGAACCAGCGGAGGGAUCAUUACCGAGUUUACAACUCCCAAACCCCUGUGAACAUACCACUUGUUGCCUCGGCGGAUCAGCCCGCUCCCGGUAAAACGGGACGGCCCGCCAGAGGACCCCUAAAACUCUGUUUCUAUAUGUAACUUCUGAGUAAAACCAUAAAUAAAUCAAAACUUUCAACAACGGAUCUCUUGGUUCUGGCAUCGAUGAAGAACGCAGCAAAAUGCGAUAAGUAAUGUGAAUUGCAGAAUUCAGUGAAUCAUCGAAUCUUUGAACGCACAUUGCGCCCGCCAGUAUUCUGGCGGGCAUGCCUGUUCGAGCGUCAUUUCAACCCUCAAGCACAGCUUGGUGUUGGGACUCGCGUUAAUUCGCGUUCCUCAAAUUGAUUGGCGGUCACGUCGAGCUUCCAUAGCGUAGUAGUAAAACCCUCGUUACUGGUAAUCGUCGCGGCCACGCCGUUAAACCCCAACUUCUGAAUGUUGACCUCGGAUCAGGUAGGAAUACCCGCUGAACUUAAGCAUAUCA
Molecule: ribosomal RNA, 543 nt
Filed under: Fusarium oxysporum
Lineage: Eukaryota; Fungi; Ascomycota; Sordariomycetes; Hypocreales; Nectriaceae
Description: eukaryotic LSU rRNA
Rfam family: 5.8S ribosomal RNA (bases 190-343)
Source: RNAcentral